Molecule: ribosomal RNA, 468 nt
Filed under: uncultured bacterium
Lineage: Bacteria
Description: partial 16S ribosomal RNA
Rfam family: Bacterial small subunit ribosomal RNA
Source: RNAcentral
GACGAACGCUGGCGGCGUGCUUAACACAUGCAAGUCGAACGGAAAGGCCCUGCUUUUGUGGGGUGCUCGAGUGGCGAACGGGUGAGUAACACGAGAGUAACCUGCCCUUGACUUUGGGAUAACUUCAGGAAACUGGGGCUUAUACCGGAUAGGAGCUCCUGCUGCAUGGUGGGGGUUGGAAAGUUUCGGCGGUUGGGGAUGGACUCGCGGCUUAUCAGCUUGUUGGUGGGGUAGUGGCUUACCAAGGCUUUGACGGGUAGCCGGCCUGAGAGGGUGACCGGCCACAUUGGGACUGAGAUACGGCCCAGACUCCUACGGGAGGGAGCAGUGGGGAAUAUUGGAAAAUGGGCGGAAGCCUGAUGCAGCAACGCCGUGUGCGGGAUGACGGCCUUCGGGUUGUAAACCGCUUUCGCCUGUGACGAAGCGUGAGUGACGGUAAUGGGAAAAGAAGCACCGGCUAACUACGUG